Molecule: long non-coding RNA, 507 nt
Filed under: Apteryx rowi (Okarito brown kiwi)
Lineage: Eukaryota; Metazoa; Chordata; Aves; Apterygiformes; Apterygidae
Description: lncRNA (ENSARWG00000015614.1)
Source: RNAcentral
CAAAACUAUAACGGGUGCUCUUUGAGACUUAUGGUCAAAAUGUCCAUAUUUCAUAGCUGAACUUCUUUCAGAGUUUUUUAUGUUUCUAGAUGUAUAUUUCAGCAGAUGAACAGAAGCAGUAAGGCUGCCAUCUUAUACAUGCAUAUGCUGAGCAUAAGCAAUAGUUGAAUACAAAUGAAUCUUCUGUGAAUAUGAAAAGGAAAAGAAGGCUGUCUUCAAGAGAYGAAGUGUUUUCAGAAAAGAGAAGAUGAGCUACAGAGACAGCAGAAGGAAACACUUUCUCUGCAACAGAAAACAGAUGAUCUUCUUACUGAGCUCUAGCCUCAAGAAAUCAGAGUCACCAGCUCCAGACUGAACUGCGUAAAAUGAAAACUGAGAUAAAAAAUGAAGAGCUGAAGAGCUACAGAAUGAACUGAGUAUAUCCAGCUAGUUAAAUGGGCAGGCCAAAUGUUCAGGUACUGUACAAAGGUAUCAUUAACUGCCCUGAACUACAUAAAUUAAGCUGAU